AAAUUGAAGAGUUUGAUCAUGGCUCAGAUUGAACGCUGGCGGCAGGCCUAACACAUGCAAGUCGAGCGGUAGCACAGAGAGCUUGCUCUCGGGUGACGAGCGGCGGACGGGUGAGUAAUGUCUGGGAAACUGCCUGAUGGAGGGGGAUAACUACUGGAAACGGUAGCUAAUACCGCAUAAUGUCGCAAGACCAAAGUGGGGGACCUUCGGGCCUCAUGCCAUCAGAUGUGCCCAGAUGGGAUUAGCUAGUAGGUGGGGUAACGGCUCACCUAGGCGACGAUCCCUAGCUGGUCUGAGAGGAUGACCAGCCACACUGGAACUGAGACACGGUCCAGACUCCUACGGGAGGCAGCAGUGGGGAAUAUUGCACAAUGGGCGCAAGCCUGAUGCAGCCAUGCCGCGUGUGUGAAGAAGGCCUUCGGGUUGUAAAGCACUUUCAGCGGGGAGGAAGGCGCCAAGGUUAAUAACCUUGGCGAUUGACGUUACCCGCAGAAGAAGCACCGGCUAACUCCGUGCCAGCAGCCGCGGUAAUACGGAGGGUGCAAGCGUUAAUCGGAAUUACUGGGCGUAAAGCGCACGCAGGCGGUCUGUCAAGUCGGAUGUGAAAUCCCCGGGCUCAACCUGGGAACUGCAUUCGAAACUGGCAGGCUAGAGUCUUGUAGAGGGGGGUAGAAUUCCAGGUGUAGCGGUGAAAUGCGUAGAGAUCUGGAGGAAUACCGGUGGCGAAGGCGGCCCCCUGGACAAAGACUGACGCUCAGGUGCGAAAG
This 767-nucleotide ribosomal RNA is filed under the name Klebsiella pneumoniae. Its description in RNAcentral is "bacterial SSU rRNA". It matches the Rfam family "Bacterial small subunit ribosomal RNA", at positions 1 to 759 of the family's 1533-position model. Lineage: Bacteria; Pseudomonadati; Pseudomonadota; Gammaproteobacteria; Enterobacterales; Enterobacteriaceae. The record is from RNAcentral.